UACAGAGGGUGCAAGCGUUGUUCGGAAUCAUUGGGCGUAAAGCGCACGUAGGCGGCUCGCUAAGUUUGGUGUGAAAGCCCGGAGCUCAACUCCGGAAGUGCACUGAAUACUGGCAAGCUAGAGGACGAGAGAGGAUGGUAGAAUUCCUGGUGUAGGGGUGAAAUCCGUAGAUAUCAGGAGGAAUAUCAGUGGCGAAGGCGGCCAUCUGGCUCGUUUCUGACGCUCAGGUGCGAAAGCGUGGGGAGCAAACAGG
RNAcentral lists this ribosomal RNA (253 nucleotides) under uncultured bacterium. RNAcentral's name for it is "partial 16S ribosomal RNA". It matches the Rfam family "Bacterial small subunit ribosomal RNA", at positions 524 to 776 of the family's 1533-position model. The record is from RNAcentral.